AUGCAGGGGCCGGUUGCAAGGGGAGAGUGGGAGGGGGAGGGGAGUGCUCUGAUCCCACGCACCCCUCUGCAAAUCCAAUUCCACUGGGGAGAGGGUACGAGGCAGAAGAGCGGAGCUCAGCAGAAAUGGUGGCCCCGGAUGAGUGUGGGCUCCCUGAAGCUAGAAGGCGCAGGAGGAGCCCUGUGGGCCCGAAGCGGAGCGCGCCGGGCGACUGGGCAUGGCGCGCGGGGGCGCACGGGGCGGACGCGCAGCCCCCGGGGGGCGCGGGGCGGCGCUCACUCACGCGGCCUCUCCCCCGCCCGCAGCCCCGCCGCAGCCCCGAGCCGUCCUCGCGGUCUCCCGGCUGCCAAGGAUGGUUUGCCAACACACAUGCACUUCGCUGGAGGAUGUCUCGGCAAUCCCGCCUCCCGCCCGGCGUCCUUGGCGACGCUCUGCACCAGGGCCUGCCCCGAGGUCACGCAGGAAAGACAAAAGGGCAGUCCGAUCGCUGCAGCCGUGCAGAAAUAUCCACGGGGUCAGCACCCCAGCACAGGAAAUCCGAGAGGCGAAGUUGAGGACCAGAGCUCCCGCGAAGACCUCGUGGGCACCGGCUGGAGCAGGACUUACAGCCGGGCAAGCCGGAAGGAGCCGACAGGCAAAGGCCAAGGUGGAGGUGUCCGCGACCCGGGCCCUGCAGGGGUGUCCUGCAGGGUGGCUGGGGGGCCGGCGGGUCGGUGGGAUCCGCGACUCCGGGAACGGCCCGGCCGCGGUGCGUGCGCGCGGGUGGCAGCCCCUGUGGUCUCCCGGAGACGCCGCAGCUCCGCGCAGACACCUGAUGGCAAAGGUAGAAGAGAUGACCGCCGGCCGAGGCAGCCGCCCACCAGUAGAUCCUCCUCCUCCAAGUGCAGGAACUUUUCCCAAGGUUUUGAGUCGCGUGCCCCACGGCCACGGUGGGGGUCCGCCCGCCGACGUCGCGACGCCGCCCGGCUCCGAGUCCUGCACCUGCCUCGGCUGCGGCAGCCCCUUCCCCUCUCCCGGCUGCCCUGCCGCUUCCUGGGCCUCCUCCUCCGGGGAGAGAGAGGGCAGGCGGCGGCUCGGCCGGCUCCGGAGUCCCCGGCAAGUGUCUAA
RNAcentral lists this long non-coding RNA (1107 nucleotides) under Oryctolagus cuniculus (rabbit). Its description in RNAcentral is "lncRNA (ENSOCUG00000038249.1)". The record is from RNAcentral. Lineage: Eukaryota; Metazoa; Chordata; Mammalia; Lagomorpha; Leporidae.